RNAcentral lists this ribosomal RNA (496 nucleotides) under uncultured bacterium. Its description in RNAcentral is "partial 16S ribosomal RNA". It matches the Rfam family "Bacterial small subunit ribosomal RNA", at positions 28 to 506 of the family's 1533-position model. The record is from RNAcentral.
GAUGAACGCUGGCGGCGUGCCUAACACAUGCAAGUCGAGCGAACGGACGAGAAGCUUGCUUCUCUGAUGUUAUCGGCGGACGGGUGAGUAAUACGUGGAUAAUCUACCUAUAACACCGGGAUAACUUCGGGAACCCGGAGCUAAUACCGGAUGAUAUUUUGAACCGCAUGGUUCAAAAGUGAAAGACGGUCUUGCUGUCACUUAUAGAUGGAUCCGCGCCGCAUUAGCUAGUUGGUAAGGUAACGGCUUACCAAGGCAACGAUGCAUAGCCGACCUGAGAGGGUGAGCGGCCACACUGGAUCUGAGAGACGGUCCAGACUCCUACGGGAGGCAGCGGUGGGGAGUCUACCGCAAUGGGCGAGAGCCUGACGUGGCGACGCGGCGUGGGUGAUGAGGGGCUUCGGGUCGUGAAACUCUGUUCUUAGGGAAGAGCAGAUGUGUAAGGAACGGUGGAGAUCUGAACGGUGCCGAAGCAGAAGGCCCCGCCUAACUCCGU